This 350-nucleotide ribosomal RNA is filed under the name uncultured bacterium. Its description in RNAcentral is "bacterial SSU rRNA". It matches the Rfam family "Bacterial small subunit ribosomal RNA", at positions 28 to 363 of the family's 1533-position model. The record is from RNAcentral.
GACGAACGCUGGCGGCGUGCUUAACACAUGCAAGUCGAACGGGCUGAAGUGAUAGCUUGCUAUUAUGGACGCUAGUGGGCAAACGGGUGAGUAACGCGUAGGCAACCUGCCCUUCAGAUGGGGACAACACUUCGAAAGAGGUGCUAAUACCGAAUGACGUAUCCAUUCCGCAUGGAGAGGAUACCAAAGGCCGGGCAACCGGUCACUGAAGGAUGGGCCUGCGUCUGAUUAGCUAGUUGGUGGGUAACGGCGUCACCAAGGCGACGAUCAGUAGCCGGUCUGAGAGGAUGAACGGCCACGAUUGGGACUGAGACACGGCCCAAACUCCUACGGAGGCAGCAGUGGGAAUA